Folsomia candida is the source of this 1238-nucleotide long non-coding RNA. RefSeq lists it as uncharacterized. The record is from RefSeq and is a predicted model, not a curated record. Lineage: Eukaryota; Metazoa; Arthropoda; Collembola; Entomobryomorpha; Isotomidae. The transcript is spliced from 3 exons.
UACAUACAUACAUACUUUCUCCACUGUACAAAAAUAAAAAUAUGAUCUCAUCACCUUCCCUGGUCUAACUAAAUACAUAAAUUUCCUAAAACACCCAUCCACGGUUUGCAUAUAUGCAUGUAUAUGUGUAUGUAUAUAUACAUAAAUACAUAAACUUUACUUCAAAUUAGCAAUACACUCAUAGCUAAAAUGGUAUUGCAUCAAUACUGAUUAGAGUGCCCACUUCAUCUGCACGGUAAUAAGAGGCAUUGCAAUAUGUAUUUAGUUUGCUGAAAAUUUACCUCCGAGAAAUAAACUAUUACACAUUUCGGGAAGAAGAUAUUACCAAAUAAGUACCAGGACGUAUGCGACUUCACCACUUUUUCAACAGUGUAUUUAGAAGCUGCAAAUAUUUCUAAAAAAUUAAUUAACAUGUGAUUGACCGGAAAUUCGUCCUCAUCAAUGAUGCUACCCACGGCCCAAUCUCGCAUAAGUGUAAUUGCUGGUUCUACUUCGGGUGCCCAGAAUCGAAAUAGCUGGUGGGAUGGGGAAGACUAUCAGGAUGAGUUGGUCAUCUUCAUUUACAUUUUGGUGACCCUUCUCCUCUCUCUCCUGGUCUUACUUGGGGUCAAAUUCUUGUGUAAUCGGGUGAGGCAUGGACGGGAACGGAAGCACUUGGACGACCUCCGAUAAAUACGGACUUCAUUGAGGGAAUCAUUUUGACUCAAAUUACGUAGCAUGGAUGGUAUAUACAUGUUUGCCAUUAGGAAAUCCUCCUUUAUGUCAUCACAUAAAUUUGCAUGUAAAUUUGCAUGUUAAGAUGCAAAUAUGUUGUAAGGAUUGUCUGGUAAGGAUUUAAUUGGCGACGCUUUACCAUCACGAGUGACAAAAUAAACUUAUCUGAAAUUAUUUUAUAUGGAAUUAUCUUAUUAAGCAAACUCAUUUCAGAAAUUGUUUGUACAUACAUAUGUAUUUACAUAUGCGGUUUAUUUCUGAAAAUUUUCAGGCAAACGGCUCUUUAGUACAUUGUAGUAGUAGAUUAAUUAAGUUACAUGGUUAACUUAACCCCCUGUAAAUUAUCAGCCCCUCACUCAAUGCAUGAUGGUUGCAUUCAUGGAGAUAUGCAAGCUUAAGGAUUAAACGCGUUCGGGGUAUUUUAAGAUGCGUGAUUUUAACGGGAUGGAUCUAACAGAAUUAUUUUUAUCAAUUCGCCUUAAAUUUCAUUAUUUUCAAAAUAAGAAUAAAUCAUAAAGUGUAAC